Cottoperca gobio is the source of this 399-nucleotide long non-coding RNA. RefSeq lists it as uncharacterized. The record is from RefSeq and is a predicted model, not a curated record. The transcript is spliced from 3 exons. Lineage: Eukaryota; Metazoa; Chordata; Actinopteri; Perciformes; Bovichtidae.
GAAGUCGGCAUGAACACAACUUGAAGCUCUAAUGAUUGGAGUCGGGAACGGGUUCCAUCUGUACCAUCUGUACAAAGUGUAUUGAUCUGUCGGACUGAAACGUCAAAUGAAACUUUAACUUCACAGGAGAAAUGAAGUGUGACUGUUUUGUGUUUUCAGGAGGAAGUUGGUUCCCCUCAGCAGGAAGGUGGAGCGGAGAGAGAAAAGGAAAGAGGAGAAAGCUCUGAUCGCUGCUCAGCUGGAUAACGCCAUCGAGAAGGAGCUUCUGGAGAGACUGAAACAGGGAACGUAUGGAGACAUCUACAACUUCCCAAUCCAAGCCUUUGAUAAGGCUCUGGAGCAGCAGGAUGAAGAGAGCGAGGAGGAGGAGGAGGAAGAUGAGGAGGAGGUGGAGGAUGA